AACGAACGCUGGCGGCAGGCUUAACACAUGCAAGUCGAACGUCUUCGCAAGAGGGCGUGGCAGACGGGUGCGUAACGCGUGGGAACAUACCUCUCGGUUCGGAAUAACCCAGGGAAACUUGGGACAAUACCGGAUACGUGCGAAAGCAGAAAGAUUUAUCGCCGAGAGAUUGGCCCGCGUCCGAUUAGCUGGUUGGUGAGGUAACGGCUCACCAAGGCGACGAUCGGUAGCUGGUCUGAGAGGAUGAUCAGCCACACUGGGACUGAGACACGGCCCAGACUCCUACGGGAGGCAGCAGUGAGGAAUAUUGGUCAAUGGGCGGAAGCCUGAUGCAGCAACGCCGCGUGCGGGAUGACGGCCUUCGGGUUGUAAACCGCUUUCAGUAGGGACGAAGCGCAAGUGACGGUACCUACAGAAGAAGCACCGGCUAACUCCGUG
This 438-nucleotide ribosomal RNA is filed under the name uncultured bacterium. RNAcentral's name for it is "bacterial SSU rRNA". It matches the Rfam family "Bacterial small subunit ribosomal RNA", at positions 29 to 507 of the family's 1533-position model. The record is from RNAcentral.